GGGCCUAUAGCUCAGUUGGUUAGAGCGCCACACUGAUAAUGUGGAGGUCGAUGGUUCGAGUCCAUCUAGGCCCAC
This 75-nucleotide transfer RNA is filed under the name Chlamydia trachomatis. RNAcentral's name for it is "tRNA-Ile(gat)". It matches the Rfam family "tRNA". Rfam says of the family: Transfer RNA (tRNA) molecules are approximately 80 nucleotides in length. Lineage: Bacteria; Pseudomonadati; Chlamydiota; Chlamydiia; Chlamydiales; Chlamydiaceae. The record is from RNAcentral.